AAAAUGACUCUCGGCAACGGAUAUCUCGGCUCUCGCAUCGAUGAAGAACGUAGCGAAAUGCGAUACUUGGUGUGAAUUGCAGAAUCCCGUGAACCAUCGAGUCUUUGAACGCAAGUUGCGCCCAAUGCCAAAAUCUUUUGGUUGAGGGCACGUCUGCCUGGGU
This 163-nucleotide ribosomal RNA is filed under the name Clusia osseocarpa. RNAcentral's name for it is "5.8S ribosomal RNA". It matches the Rfam family "5.8S ribosomal RNA". Rfam says of the family: 5.8S ribosomal RNA (5.8S rRNA) is a component of the large subunit of the eukaryotic ribosome. It is transcribed by RNA polymerase I as part of the 45S precursor that also contains 18S and 28S rRNA. The record is from RNAcentral. Lineage: Eukaryota; Viridiplantae; Streptophyta; Magnoliopsida; Malpighiales; Clusiaceae.